Molecule: long non-coding RNA, 421 nt
Organism: Cyprinus carpio carpio
Lineage: Eukaryota; Metazoa; Chordata; Actinopteri; Cypriniformes; Cyprinidae
Source: Ensembl
AGACAGACCGACCGACAGAUAGAUAGAUAGAUAGAUAGAUAGAUAGAUAGAUAGAUAGAUAGACAGACAGACAGACAGACAGAUAGAUAGACAGACAGACAGACAGACAGACAGACAGACAUACAGACAGACAGACAGACAGACAGAUAGAUAGAUAGAUAGAUAGAUAGAUAGAUAGAUAGAUAGAUAGAUAGAUAGAUAGAUAGAUAGAUAGAUAGAUAGAUAGAUAGAUAGACAGACAGAUAGAUAGAUAGAAAGAUAGAAAGAUAGACAGAUAAUCAGACAGACAGACAGAUAGAUAGAUAGAUAGAUAGAUAGACAGAUAGAUAGACAGAUAGACAGAUAGAUAGAUAGACAGAUAGACAGAUAGAUAGAUAGACAGAUAGAUAGAUAGAUAGAAAGAUAGAAAGAUAGACAGAUA